GCCUCUUUGGCGCAGUGGUAACGCGUAGCACUUGUAUCUACACUUCUUCCCCUUGUACAAGGUGCGGCAGUAUGAGCAAUGCUAAGAUCGCUCGUUCGAUUCGGGCAGGAGGCA
Molecule: non-coding RNA, 114 nt
Organism: Plenodomus lindquistii
Lineage: Eukaryota; Fungi; Ascomycota; Dothideomycetes; Pleosporales; Leptosphaeriaceae
Source: the annotation of a GenBank genome assembly